AUGAUAAGCACAUUAAACUACAACUACAAGAAGUUUCUCAUUCCUUCCCAUAUCAUUCUUCAAUCAUCCAUUUUCUCCCUGGAUCAUUCCUUUUCAAACAUCCAUUUCCCGGUGUUUCUUUCUAGAUCAUUCUUCAAUCAUCCAUUUUUUCAACCUUCAACAACAUCCAACUUCAAACAAACACAACAUAUAGUUAUUAAAAUAUAG
This is a non-coding RNA of Vicia faba (fava bean), 207 nucleotides long. The record is from the annotation of a GenBank genome assembly. NCBI's taxonomy places the organism in Eukaryota, Viridiplantae, Streptophyta, Magnoliopsida, Fabales, Fabaceae.